Molecule: microRNA, 22 nt
Filed under: Homo sapiens (human)
Lineage: Eukaryota; Metazoa; Chordata; Mammalia; Primates; Hominidae
Description: hsa-miR-3975
Source: miRBase by way of RNAcentral
UGAGGCUAAUGCACUACUUCAC